RNAcentral lists this ribosomal RNA (525 nucleotides) under uncultured bacterium. Its description in RNAcentral is "bacterial SSU rRNA". It matches the Rfam family "Bacterial small subunit ribosomal RNA", at positions 984 to 1509 of the family's 1533-position model. The record is from RNAcentral.
ACAUCCAGAGAAUUUAGCAGAGAUGCUUUAGUGCCUUCGGGAACUCUGAGACAGGUGCUGCAUGGCUGUCGUCAGCUCGUGUUGUGAAAUGUUGGGUUAAGUCCCGNAACGAGCGCAACCCUUAUCCUUUGUUGCCAGCACGUAAUGGUGGGAACUCAAAGGAGACUGCCGGUGAUAAACCGGAGGAAGUGGGGAUGACGUCAAGUCAUCAUGGCCCUUACGAGUAGGGCUACACACGUGCUACAAUGGCGCAUACAAAGAGAAGCGACCUCGCGAGAGCAAGCGGACCUCAUAAAGUGCGUCGUAGUCCGGAUUGGAGUCUGCAACUCGACUCCAUGAAGUCGGAAUCGCUAGUAAUCGUAAAUCAGAAUGUUACGGUGAAUACGUUCCCGGGCCUUGUACACACCGCCCGUCACACCAUGGGAGUGGGUUGCAAAAGAAGUAGAUAGCUUAACCUUCGGGAGGGCGUUUACCACUUUGUGAUUCAUGACUGGGGUGAAGUCGUAACAAGGUAGGCGUAGUGCU